This 498-nucleotide ribosomal RNA is filed under the name uncultured bacterium. RNAcentral's name for it is "partial 16S ribosomal RNA". It matches the Rfam family "Bacterial small subunit ribosomal RNA", at positions 28 to 507 of the family's 1533-position model. The record is from RNAcentral.
GACGAACGCUGGCGGCGUGCCUAAUACAUGCAAGUCGAACGAGAGCGACCGGUGCUUGCACUGGUCAAUCUAGUGGCGAACGGGUGAGUAACACGUGGGUAACCUGCCCAUCAGAGGGGGAUAACAUCCGGAAACGGAUGCUAAAACCGCAUAGGUCUUCGAACCGCAUGGUUUGAAGAGGAAAAGAGGCGCAAGCUUCUGCUGAUGGAUGGACCCGCGGUGCAUUAGCUAGUUGGUGAGGUAACGGCUCACCAAGGCCGUGAUGCAUAGCCGACCUGAGAGGGUGAUCGGCCACAUUGGGACUGAGACACGGCCCAAACUCCUAUGGGAGGCAGCAGUAGGGAAUCUUCCGCAAUGGACGCAAGUCUGACGGAGCAACGCCGCGUGAGUGAAGAAGGUUUUCGGAUCGUAAAACUCUGUUGUUAGAGAAGAACAAGUGCUAGAGUAACUGUUAGCGCCUUGACGGUAUCUAACCAGAAAGCCACGGCUAACUACGUG